AUUAUUAUUAUUAUUAUUUUAUACAAGUUGUGCAUGUAUUCUUGUAGUUAGUUCACCUUGUACUUUACUAAUGGUGAAUAGUGAAGUACCAAGUGUGGCUGCAAUUGAAAUCAAGACUAAAAAACCUGACCCAAUAAACACUCCAUCUUUGACUACAUAGCAUUUCUGGUCUAACCAUCCUUUUCCAUAGAGCUGUUUUCUACUCAUGCUUGUGCCUGCACUUAAUAAAAUCACUGCAAGACCAAAGCAGAUCCAUGACAAAACCAGAAAUGCUGUGGCGAUCUUUGGUUUCUUAGCCUUGGAAGAAU
Molecule: unclassified non-coding RNA, 308 nt
Filed under: Hevea brasiliensis (rubber tree)
Lineage: Eukaryota; Viridiplantae; Streptophyta; Magnoliopsida; Malpighiales; Euphorbiaceae
Source: RNAcentral